This 482-nucleotide ribosomal RNA is filed under the name uncultured bacterium. RNAcentral's name for it is "bacterial SSU rRNA". It matches the Rfam family "Bacterial small subunit ribosomal RNA", at positions 156 to 636 of the family's 1533-position model. The record is from RNAcentral.
AUCCGGGUUAAUACCCCAUAACACAUGAAGCGGCAUCGCUUUAUGUUGAAAGCUCCGGCGGUUAAAGAUGAGUAUGCGUCUGAUUAGCUAGUUGGUGAGGUAACGGCUCACCAAGGCGACGAUCAGUAGGAGAUCUGAGAGGAUUAACCCCCACACGGAUACUGAGACACGGAUCCGACUCCUACGGGAGGCAGCAGUAAGGAAUAUUGGACAAUGCCCGCAAGGGUGAUCCAGCCAUGCCGCGUGCAGGAAGACGGCCCUAUGGGUUGUAAACUGCUUUUACACCGGAGAAAACCUCCCCUCGUGAGGGGAGCUGAUAGUAUGGUGAGAAUAAGCAUCGGCUAACUUCGUGCCAGCAGCCCGCGGUAAGACGAAGGAUGCAAGCGUUAUCCGGAUUCAUUGGGUUUAAAGGGAGCGUAGGUGGACUGAUAAGUCAGUGGUGAAAUCUUCGAGCUUAACUCGGAAAUUGCCAUUGAUACUGU